AUUGAACGCUGGCGGCAGGCCUAACACAUGCAAGUCGAGCGGAUGAAGGGAGCUUGCUCCUGGAUUCAGCGGCGGACGGGUGAGUAAUGCCUAGGAAUCUGCCUGGUAGUGGGGGAUAACGUCCGGAAACGGGCGCUAAUACCGCAUACGUCCUGAGGGAGAAAGUGGGGGAUCUUCGGACCUCACGCUAUCAGAUGAGCCUAGGUCGGAUUAGCUAGUUGGUGGGGUAAAGGCCUACCAAGGCGACGAUCCGUAACUGGUCUGAGAGGAUGAUCAGUCACACUGGAACUGAGACACGGUCCAGACUCCUACGGGAGGCAGCAGUGGGGAAUAUUGGACAAUGGGCGAAAGCUUGAUCCAGCCAUGCCGCGUGUGUGAAGAAGGUCUUCGGAUUGUAAAGCACUUAAAGUUGGGAGGAAGGGCAGUAAGUUAAUACCUUGCUGUUUUGACGUUACCAACAGAAUAAGCACCGGCUAACUUCGUG
RNAcentral lists this ribosomal RNA (484 nucleotides) under uncultured bacterium. Its description in RNAcentral is "partial 16S ribosomal RNA". It matches the Rfam family "Bacterial small subunit ribosomal RNA", at positions 30 to 507 of the family's 1533-position model. The record is from RNAcentral.